GUCUAUGGCCAUACCACCUGGAACCAUCUCAUCUGAUCUCUGAAGCUAAGCAGAGGCAGGCCUGGUUAGUAUUUGGAUGGGGGAGGAGAGUAAAUAAGGAGUUACUGUGGGGC
Molecule: ribosomal RNA, 113 nt
Filed under: Sus scrofa (pig)
Lineage: Eukaryota; Metazoa; Chordata; Mammalia; Artiodactyla; Suidae
Source: RNAcentral